UUCUUCGGGGCAGGGUGAAAUUCCCGACCGGCGGUAGAGUCCGCGAGCGCGAAAGCGCAGAUUUGGUUAAAUUCCAAAACCGACAGUAAAGUCUGGAUGAAAGAAGA
This 107-nucleotide non-coding RNA is filed under the name human gut metagenome. Its description in RNAcentral is "FMN riboswitch (RFN element)". It matches the Rfam family "FMN riboswitch aptamer (RFN element)". From Rfam's summary of the family: The RFN element is a highly conserved domain that is found frequently in the 5'-untranslated regions of prokaryotic mRNAs that encode for flavin mononucleotide (FMN) biosynthesis and transport proteins. The record is from RNAcentral.